Molecule: ribosomal RNA, 430 nt
Filed under: uncultured bacterium
Lineage: Bacteria
Description: bacterial SSU rRNA
Rfam family: Bacterial small subunit ribosomal RNA
Source: RNAcentral
GUGGGGAAUAUUGGACAAUGGGGGCAACCCUGAUCCAGCCAUGCCGCGUGUGUGAAGAAGGCCUUUUGGUUGUAAAGCACUUUAAGCAGUGAAGAAGACCUAACGGUUAAUACCAGUUAGCGAUGACAGUAGCUGCAGAAUAAGCUCCGGCUAACCCUGUGCGAGCAGCCGCGGUAAUACAGAGGGUGCAAGCGUUAAUCGGAAUUACUGGGCGUAAAGCGAGCGUAGGUGGCUUGAUAAGUCAGAUGUGAAAUCCCCGGGCUUAACCUGGGAACUGCAUCUGAUACUGUUGGGCUAGAGUAGGUGAGAGGGAGGUAGAAUUUCAGGUGUAGCGGUGAAAUGCGUAGAGAUCUGAAGGAAUACCGAUGGCGAAGGCAGCCUCCUGGCAUCAUACUGACACUGAGGUUCGAAAGCGUGGGUAGCAAACAGG